UGGGGAAUAUUGCACAAUGGGCGAAAGCCUGAUGCAGCAACGCCGCGUGAGUGAUGAAGGCCUUCGGGUUGUAAAGCUCUGUCUUUUGGGACGAUAAUGACGGUACCAAAGGAGGAAGCCACGGCUAACUACGUGCCAGCAGCCGCGGUAAUACGUAGGUGGCAAGCGUUGUCCGGAUUUACUGGGCGUAAAGGAUGCGUAGGCGGAUUUUUAAGUGAGAUGUGAAAUACCCGGGCUUAACUUGGGUGCUGCAUUUCAAACUGGGAAUCUAGAGUGCGGGAGAGGAGAAUGGAAUUCCUAGUGUAGCGGUGAAAUGCGUAGAGAUUAGGAAGAACACCAGUGGCGAAGGCGAUUCUCUGGACCGUAACUGAUGCUGAGGCAUGAAAAGCGUGGGUAGCAAAACAGGAUUAGAUACCCUGGUAGUCCACGCCGUAAAACGAUGAGUACUAGGUGUAGGAGGUAUCGACCCCUUCUGUGCCGCAGUUAAACACAAAUAAGUACUCCGCCUGGGAAGUACGAUCGCAAGAUUAAAAACUUAAAAUG
RNAcentral lists this ribosomal RNA (543 nucleotides) under uncultured bacterium. RNAcentral describes it as "partial 16S ribosomal RNA". It matches the Rfam family "Bacterial small subunit ribosomal RNA", at positions 355 to 908 of the family's 1533-position model. The record is from RNAcentral.